GAGAAAGACUCGCGAGGGGGAGGGAGGGACCGGGGACUCGAAGGAGGGGAGGGGGCAACAGGAGCUCGAUACCGAGCAACACGGACAGCAGCAUCCAGACUGUUGUCCCUUCCUGUUUAUUAACACCAGUUCGCGAUAACCUUUUGGAGAUGCACAGUGGUUGACGGUGCAUGCGUGCUGAUUUCAUUUCGAGUCGGUUCUGGAGUUGUGGGAACUAGUCCCACUUGUACACAAGUUCUUACUAAAUAAAAGACUUGGAGGGAGCACACGCCCUGAUGGAUGGAUAUGGGAUACCUGCCGACCUUAGAUAGUGGCUGUACCACUCAACAUGGAGCUGAGAUGCUGGAAGAUCGCCCGAGAUCAGGCUCCAGGGUCUGAGACCUGAACACCCUGAACACAGCCCCC
This is a long non-coding RNA of Gadus macrocephalus (Pacific cod), 405 nucleotides long. RefSeq lists it as uncharacterized. The record is from RefSeq and is a predicted model, not a curated record. NCBI's taxonomy places the organism in Eukaryota, Metazoa, Chordata, Actinopteri, Gadiformes, Gadidae. The transcript has 3 exons.